RNAcentral lists this unclassified non-coding RNA (240 nucleotides) under soil metagenome. RNAcentral's name for it is "partial contains 5.8S ribosomal RNA, internal transcribed spacer 2, and large subunit ribosomal RNA". The record is from RNAcentral.
AACAUCGCGCACCUGCGGGAACCUGCGGAGGGAUCAUUACAGAGUUGCAAAACUCCCUAAACCAUUGUGAACGUUACCUAAACCGUUGCUUCGGCGGGCGGCCCGGGUCCUUCCCGGCGCCCCUCGGCCCUCGCGGGCGCCCGCCGGAGGUAAACCAAACUAUUGCAUUGUAUGGCCUCUCUGAGUCCUCUGUACUGAAUAAGUCAAAACUUUCAACAACGGAUCUCAGAUCGGAAGAGC